This is a long non-coding RNA of Acinonyx jubatus (cheetah), 7604 nucleotides long. RefSeq lists it as uncharacterized. The transcript has 2 exons. The record is from RefSeq and is a predicted model, not a curated record. Lineage: Eukaryota; Metazoa; Chordata; Mammalia; Carnivora; Felidae.
GAGCGCGUGCGUGUGGGUGUGAGAGGGGGAAGGGCAGAGAGAAAGAAGGAGAGAGAGAAUCCCAAGCAGGCUCUGAACUGUCAACAUGGAGCCCAACUCAGGGCUUGAUCUCACAAACUGAGAUCAUGACCUGAGCCAAAAUCCAGAGUCAGGUGCUUAACCAACUGAGCCAUCCAGGCUAAACCCACCCAAGUUUUAAACUUGCUAAAACCUUGCAAGGAUUAGAUAAAGAAACAGUUUUGACUAGGAAGAGAACAUAUACGGUGUUUGUGUUAAUUGACUUAUUUGGAACAAAAUCUGGGAGCUCAAAGUCAAUCAGAGCAAUGUUAUAACCUUGAUAAGCAAAUUCGACACCCAUGAGAAACAGUUUAUAACUUUUUCUAAGCAAAUGCAGUCUCCUAAAAGAAGCCUAACAGAAACGAAAGUUGCUAUUUCACGGAGGAGGCCAGUGUAAACUUUUUAAAGGCAGAGCAUCACAGCAGAACAUCUUAAUGAUCUAGUCAGGAACUUAAUUUCAUGGUAAAGCAAUUAGUAGGGAUUUACAUUUAAGAUACGGUUUUAUCCUUCAUAACAAAUGUUCUCUAGAUGUUGCGGUUUGACAAGUAAAUAUGUUUCCCUCAUCUGCACUAUAAAUAGAAAGUGAAAGUAGCCUUAAUGCUUGAUGUUAGCAAAAGCCUUUGUGUCAAUAACCUUUUCCCCUCAAAGUUCCUCUUUUACUACUACUAUAAUUUGAGUCAAAAAAUUUUUUAAUUAGGCUUUUAAAAAAAUUAAGGCUGAAUUAAAGUAGUUGGGGCUUCUAAUUUUCUAUUUCUGGACCAAUGUCCGGUUAAAACCAGCCAGAGUACACGACUCUUCUCUUAGAGAUAUUCACAACAGUCUCUCUCCUCCUCCCUUCCAACUACUUCAUUCCGACUCCUGUGGCCUGGUCCAAGUUCAUCAACUGCCGAUCGAAUUCCCUAGCCCAGCUAUUGAUUCGUUUCACCCAUGUAACUUAAGAUGGUUCCCUCCUAUUAUCACCCUUGGGCAUGAAAAAGAUUCAACAGCCAUUUCAUAAAAAUGAUUUCCUUAGAAAUGGUGAUCUCAUCCCCUCUAAGUACCCUCAGAUCAUAUGCCAUUUCUUCAUGUACUCCAUGGCUUUGAACCUGCCUCCUGUUGUCCCUAUGUUCUUUAGAAGUAUAAAGCCAUGGCAUAAGCAUUUGCUGACCAGUAGCAACCAGGGAUGUGGCAGGGAAAAAGAUCAUGGAGUAAAACCUCCCAAACGUCUAAAUAAUCCACCAUAGAACACAUCAUACAUAUGUAAUCCAUAAAAAUUUCAAAACCUAGCUAAACAUGUAUGUAUGUAUGUAUGUAUGUAUUUGGCCUGUUUGCACUUCUUGGAGUAAUGAGUGAAUUACUUUAAGAAAAUGCCAUUUAUUUUCAUGUUAGAAAUAACACGUAAAUGAGAUUAGCAGGAGGGGGUGUUGUGCUUAAAUAAUCGGAAUGCCCAAGACCUUGUUCUUGGAAGCAGUUGGGUGAGUAAUCAUUGUUCUGUGUCCUUGUGUGGGUGCAGAUUGAUUAUUCUUAUCUGGAUCUCAAGCUUUCCUCACAGGAAGGGAAGAAAGUUCCUUAUAGUAACGGGAAGGAAGCCAUGUGACAGGCACAGAAUAUGACCUCGACAGAAGAGCAGUUUAUGUCAGAGCCCCAAAAGACUGACAGAACAGUGCAGAAGGAAUGGCCUGCUCCAUGGGAGACGCAGGAUCACACCAGGCCUGGAGGGUUGCAGGCGCAAGUCUACCUCUCGGACACAGGAGACAACACGCUACAUUUUGUGGGAACACUCUUAGGUGAUGUUUUAGCACGGCUCAUUUCAUUUUGUAAAUAUUUUAUUGAGUACUUCCCUGUCCCAAGGACAGUUCUGAGGUUUGUUAUGUAUCCGUCAGCAAAGAUGGACUCCUUUAUGGAGUUUUCAUUCCAGUGGUGGCACAGAGACUACAAAUUAGACACACAAUUAAUUAAUUAAUUAGAAUAAAGGCGAUGAAGGGACGCCUGGGUGGCUCAGUUGGUUGAAGUGUCCAACAUCGGGUCAGGUCAUGAUCUCUCAGGUUCGUGAGUUCAAGCCCCACGUUGGGGUCUGUGUUGACAGCCCAGAACCUGGAGUCUGCUUCAGAUUCUGUGUCUCCCUCUCUCUCUCUGUCCCUCCCCUGCUCACACUCUGUCGCUGUCUCUCAAAAAUGAAUAAAUGUUAGGGGCGCCUGGGUGGCGCAGUCGGUUAAGCGUCCGACUUCAGCCAGGUCACGAUCUCGCGGUCCGUGAGUUCGAGCCCCGCGUCAGGCUCUGGGCUGAUGGCUCAGAGCCUGGAGCCUGUUUCCGAUUCUGUGUCUCCCUCUCUCUCUGCCCCUCGCCCGUUCAUGCUCUGUCUCUCUCUGUCCCAAAAAUAAACGUUGAAAAAAAAUUAUAAAAAAAAUGAAUAAAUGUUAAAAAAAUGAAAAAAUAAAGAGGAUAAAAAGACUAGGAGAAAACUGAGAAUAACAGAGUUUCGAAACGUGGUUGUGGGAAAGACACAAUUUUUAAUACCAUGAUCAGCAUGGUCCCCAUUGAGGAGUGCUUUAAAGUGAGAUCAUGCCUGUGUGUCUGUGUGCAUCCUAUUUUUGUCUCAUUUUUUAAAGAUGUCUAUUUUGAGAGAGCAAGCGAGUGAGAGCGAGUGGGGAAGAGAUAGAGACAGAUGAAGAGAGAGAAUCUCAAGCGGGUCCCGUGAUCUCAGUGCAGAGCCUGACGCGGGACUUGAUCUAAUGAAACGUGAGAUCAUGACUUGAGCUGAAAUCAAGAGUCAGUUGCUCAGCUGACUGAGCCCCCCAGGCACUCUGAGAUUGCCUCAUGUUAAUUAGUUAGUAAAUCUUUAAGCUGCUUAUGCUGUCUUAAGAAAAGAUUGUUUUCUUCUGCCCUGUUUAAAGAGCAAGGCAGGAGACGUGGCCAGAAGUGGGGUUAGCAUGGAAAAUACCAGCUACAAAAUAGGAGUCAACGGGCUGAGGUGUUGGUUAGUGUCCAGCGCAAAGCAGGGUUGUGAUCAAAUAGUGGCAUCUUCCUGUGGUUGUGUUAUGACCCAGGACUGAAGGACUUGACGACUGUAGCUAGCCCUCUCCUCUGCCAGGGAGUUCGGUGGCAACUGUCUACCAGGUAGUACGUUUUUAAUUGUCCUAAACUUACCACAGGUUUCAAGGAUGCUCGUUGUUUUAAUAUUCUGCCACUGGACUUGGUAAGCAAGCCUGCUUUGGACUUAUGUCACGUCACUGAUGAUUUCCUAUGCCUCCUCGGUCCUUAGCUUUCCCAGAUUCAGCAUGUCUAAUUACUCGGUACAUUUGCUGUCUCUGCCCCACGCUGCAUUCCCCACACUCUGUUAAAUUAUUUCUCAUCUCCUUAACCCCCCUACCUUCCUCAUUAAUCACCCCCCAACCCAAAUCACACACACACACCAAGCAGAAAAUGAGCUUCUCGUAAGCAGAGACCAACUCUAGGCACAAAAAAAUCAUUUUUAGUUAAUGAUUUUUGACUUCCAAUUGUACAGCAGUUAGGAUUAAUAGUAAUAAUAGCAACAGCUAAUGUAUUUGUUUACAAAAUAUUUUACCAUUUAUUGUCUUCGUUGACCCUCAGAGCAACUCUGUGAGGUAGGUAGGUCCAAUUGCAUUGUUAUCCCAAAGCAGAGAAGGGUCUGAGGUGCAGAGAAAUUCAGUGGCUUGCUUAAAAUCGUACCAGCAGGAGGUCCUUCAGGAGUAGGGCUUCAGUCCCGAUGAUCUUAGGACCCUGAACCCAUUCAGCUACCCGGUAAUAAUCUCAGCUGCCAUUUCUGAAUUUGAUUCUGUACCACCCAGAACUGCAUAUAGCACAAAAGUGGGAGGUUUCCUUUUUUUCUUAUAGUACUUUAACCUGUCCAUUUUAUUGGUAUGUGUGUUGUUGUUUGUUUGUUUUAGCUAGUCUGGUACAUGGGGCAGGUAUCCUAGAGAAUAGUAUGCAAUCUCUCCCUUUUACUCUAUCCUGAGUUAUCAGCCUCUAAGGAAAUUACAGUAAUUCGGGAAGGGCUUCUGUCCUUACUAGGCUUAGUGAAAAUUGUCCUGUCCAUUCACAUAGACUAGCAAGUUUGAUGACUUAACUUUACUGGCUUUUCACUAGUAAAAAACAUGUCAUCUCUGCAUACAUUCCAUUUCAAAGUAUAUUUACACAAGAAUUUGUGGGAAAUGUUGUUUUUUGUUUUUUAGAGAGAGAAGGGGGGUGCAGAGGGAGAGAGAGGGAGAAUCUUGAGCAGGCUCCAUACUCGCUCAGUGUGGACCCUGACACAGGGCUUGAUCCCACAACCCCGGGAUCAUGACCUGAUCAAAACCCAAGAGUCAGAUGCUCAAUGGACUGAGCCAUCCAAGCACCCUGAUUUGUGGCAAAUGUUAAGCAGGAUAAGUCAUGCACUGAUCACUGAGGAAUAAUACUGUUAAAUUCCUGCAUUCAUAGCCCAUUUAGCCUUGCUCCUUGUUUCUGCCUCUGAUCCAUUCCCAUUCCCAUACAAAACAGCCUUCUUGUAUAUACUCAGAUAAAGCUAUAAAGUCUUCACUGGUAUGAUGCUUGGAGUGACAAAACUACUAAGACCGCCCUCUAUGAGGUAGGUAUCCCUGCAUUACCCCAUGCCCACAUUGACUACCACCAAUCAAGUGGAUAGCCAUCCACUCAGCACAUACCAAGGUUGUAUUCUCUCAGGCCCAUGUACUGGUCAUCAUCCAAAACCCCUUUCAGCCAUUCCUUGGCUAACCACUUAAUAGUCACUGCUCCGUGGACGCCCAUAACACCCGUCAGUACAACCCUCUACUCUUCCUCAGGCGUGGAUCUCAAGUUUGUCCUUCCUCAUUCUGGGAACACUUUGCUUCCGACUCAGUCUUCCUCUUUGUCUCAGGGAUGCCCUCAUUGUAAUUUCCACCAAAGGGUAAAGACUAACUGAGCAAUAAGGAAGUACUGGGAGGCGGUGGAGUGAGUUAACUCUUUGGCUUCGAUCCUUAAGUCCCUAAUACCAACACAUAUUUGACCUCUAAGGGUACUGGUAUUGUACCAUUUACCAUUUCGUUUAUGUAAAAUGAAGUGCUUAAACAACUGCCAAAGAGGCAGAGUAGCAUCCCAGGUAAGAUGAUGGGCUUUGCAAUCAUUAGGAGCCGUGUCAUACCCACUUACUAGCUAUGAAACCCUCAGCAAGGCACUCAUCUUCUCUAAACUUUAUUUUCCUUGUCUGUAAUGUGAGGACAAUAAUAGUUCCUACCUCACAUAGCAUGGUGCCUCAGUUAGGGUGAAUGUCAGAAAGUGUGAGCUAUUGUUAUUUACAUGUGAUUGUUACUGACAUUUAAAAGUGCUUAGGGGUUCCUGGCAGGCUCAGUUGGUUGAGCAGCGAACUUCGGCUCAGGUCAUGAUCAUGGCUUCAAGCCCGGAGUCAGGCUCUGUGCUGACAGCUCAGAACCUGGAGCCUGCUUCGGAUUCUGUGUGUCCCUCUCUCUCUGCCCCUCCCCCACUAACAUUUCAAAAAAUUGAAAAAAAUAAAUAAAAGUGCUUAAAUGCUUGGAUUUACCCUAGUCCUCAUACGCCUCCGGACAACUGCUGCUGCUUUCCAAACUCUGGGUGUUAACUGUACACAAAACAGAACUUCCAUCUUCGCUGUAGCAGAAGAAGGAAGCCUUGUGUAAGAUUGUUGUGCAAAGCUGUUGCCCUUGUGAAGCCUAAAUGUCACCACCUGGUGGUAAACAGUAUUUACCAGUCAAAAUGACUUUGGAAGCAAAUGUCGUUUGAAGGCAUGGACACUUGUGUAUAAGCAAUUCUAGUCUCCUGGCAACGUACAGGAUGGUUUUAGUUUUAUUUCCUACUCUGAGUUAUUUAGUCUGGAGAGGUGGGAUUUGGUUGUGUCCUUUUUACAUAUCUUGCAAAGAUUUCAGAAACUUGAGGCAAGUUAUGCCCUCAAUUUCAAAAUGAAAGCCACUGACUACUUCCUUCCAAGACUGAAAUGUAUAAAAUGAUUUGUCUUAUUUUUCUCCCUCUGCCAAUUAGCGAAACUACAGAUGAAAAAUGUAAGGAGAGUAUCCAUUUACAUCCUCAAGAAGACAGCGGUGUAAGUCCUCAAACUGUGCAAACAAAUCAGGAGAACAGCAGUGUCCUUCCUUGACAAAGUAUAUAAAGCUGGAGAACACCUCGAAUUAAAAUGUUGGUCGGGAAGGAAGCGAUUCAUUUCAACAGAAUAAGAUGUGAAACGCAUAAAAUCCCAACUGGAAGUGACCUCACAGAGAUGCAAGCAUGUGCACUUGAAGAUGCCGAAGUGCCCCCGGAAUCUAGGAAAAGCUCCCUCCUCUUAGUUUGGAUUACUGUCACUCCUUCACCCUCUGUCCUUGUGCUCAAAGCACACACCAUCCAUUUAGGGGAAAAGACUGCCCUUGGGCUAUAUAAAUAGCCUCACUUACUUAAAGGACAAACGUGUUGCCUAAGAUCUUGGUUUACCAGUUUGUUAUUUUCCUUUCUUAUUUUCAAAUGUCCAUACUAUGGAAUGGGCUCAUUAACGAGAAUGUGAAAAUCCAGAGGGACGAUGUGAAAAACAAAUAAGUCACAUAGAAUUAUACUACUCUGUGAUAACCACUGGUAAUAUUUCGAUUCAUUUUCUGCUAACCUUUCUUCAUGUAUGUUUCUUUAUACACAAGUCUUACUUAGUUAGUUUUUCUUUUAUAGAGCAAAACCUCCUCCUAUUAGAUCCGAGUAAAAUAUAGCUAUAUCAGUUUUUACUUCCUUAGAAAAGAAUAUUUUCUGUUUAUUAAAAAAAAACAUUAAAUGAUUCUGGAGAAGAGGUUUUCAAGAGAAAUAUCUGAAACAAUGAGCUUUGGAUAUUACCUAAGUUCUAUUUCAAAAGCACUUUUACUCUAUUCUUUACAAAAACAUAACUAUUUUAAAUAAAAGAAUAAUUUUAUUAUAAAAGCAACUGGCUUACUUUUGUAUGGAUUCAGAAUACACUAAAUAAACUAAGAAACUAUGACUUUUAAGAAGUUAAAGAAUUGGGGCUCCUGGGUGGCUCAGUCGGGUGAGCGUCCGACUUUGGCUCAGGUCAUGAUCUCACAGUUCGGGAGUUCGAGCCCCGCAUUGGGCUCUGUGCUGACAGCUCAGAGCCUGGAGCCUGCUUCAGAUUCUGUGUCUCCCCCUCUCUCUGCCCCUUCCCUGCUCAUGCUCUGUCUCUCUCUCUCUCUCAAAAAUGAAUAAACGGUAAAACAAAUUUUUUUUUAAAAAAAGAAGUUAAAAAAUUAAUAUAUAAAUAAGUGGUCUUGGAGUCCUUAACUAGUCCACAUACCUACGGAUCAAAAAUUAUCUGGUGUGAUAUUAUGGGUCAUGCUAAUAAUCUAGAAAAUAUCAGAAUCUUCCCGGAUAUUUAACAAUAGAUUCGCAUAGGACUACUGCUAUCUACCGUGUAAUCCUGGGUUUUAAGCUGCUUUUAGAGUGUAUUCUGCCAAAUCGACCUUGAUAAAUAUAAAGAGUGAGCCGAACAUCAACUGGAAGUUUUCUUUAAAAUCAUGGAAGGUAGGGAAAAACAGAAUAAGCAAAGUCAACUGACAAACCAGAAGAAAAAAUUACAA